GCUGGGUAUGGUGGAAUCACCUGUAGUCCCAGGUACUAGGGAGCCUGGGGCGGGAGGAUAGCUUGAGUUCAGGAGUUCCAGGGUGUCGUGUACACUAAGUUCAGCAUCUAUAUGGCGACCUCCUGGGACUGGGGGACCACCAGGUUGCCUAAGGAGUAGUGAACCAGCCCGGGUCAGAAACAGAGCAAGUCAAAACUAAUUAGUAGUGGGAUUGCACCUGUCAAUAGACACUGCACUCCAGCCCGAGCAACAUAGCAAGACUCUGUCUUA
This 270-nucleotide signal recognition particle RNA is filed under the name Microcebus murinus (gray mouse lemur). Its description in RNAcentral is "Metazoan signal recognition particle RNA (ENSMICG00000037749.2)". It matches the Rfam family "Metazoan signal recognition particle RNA". From Rfam's summary of the family: The signal recognition particle (SRP) is a universally conserved ribonucleoprotein. It is involved in the co-translational targeting of proteins to membranes. Lineage: Eukaryota; Metazoa; Chordata; Mammalia; Primates; Cheirogaleidae. The record is from RNAcentral.